This 360-nucleotide ribosomal RNA is filed under the name Desmoscolecidae sp. 718_8-1500_Q. RNAcentral's name for it is "bacterial SSU rRNA". It matches the Rfam family "Eukaryotic small subunit ribosomal RNA", at positions 52 to 412 of the family's 1831-position model. The record is from RNAcentral. Lineage: Eukaryota; Metazoa; Nematoda; Chromadorea; Desmoscolecida; Desmoscolecidae.
UGCAUGUCUUAGCACAAGCCGAAAUAUGGUGAAGCCGCGAAUGGCUCAUUACAACAGCCUUUGUUUAUUUGAUCUUGAAAUCCUACUUGGAUAACUGUGGUAAUUCUAGAGCUAAUACACGCAAAAAAACGCGAAACGUAAGUUUCGAGUGCAUUUAUUAGUACAAAGCCAUCCGGACUCGUCCGAAAAAUGGUGAAUCUGAAUAACUUAGCCGAUCGUAUGGUCUCUGCACCGUCGACGUAUCUUUCAAGUGUCUGCCCUAUCAACUUUCGAUGGUAGUUUAUAUGACUACCAUGGUUAUAACGGGUAACGGAGAAUAAGGGUUCGACUCCGGAGAAGCAGCCUGAGAAACGGCUACUA